Molecule: ribosomal RNA, 410 nt
Filed under: uncultured soil bacterium
Lineage: Bacteria
Description: bacterial SSU rRNA
Rfam family: Bacterial small subunit ribosomal RNA
Source: RNAcentral
CUGGCCUUGACAUGCAUAUAGUAGAAGGGUGAAAGCCUGACGAGGUAGCAAUACCAGUAUGCACAGGUGCUGCAUGGCUGUCGUCAGCUCGUGUCGUGAGAUGUUGGGUUAAGUCCCGCAACGAGCGCAACCCUUGUGUCCUGUUGCCACCCGGCCGAAAGGCUGGAGCACUCGGGACAGACUGCCUCGCUUAAACGAGGAGGAAGGUGAGGAUGACGUCAAGUCAGUAUGGCCCUUACGGCCAGGGCUGCACACGUACUACAAUGCCCGGCACAAAGGGAAGCAAGAUCGUAAGAUGGAGCAAAUCCCCAAAAACCGGGCCCAGUUCAGAUCGUCGUCUGCAACUCGACGGCGUGAAGUUGGAAUCGCUAGUAAUGGCGCAUCAGCUACGGCGCCGUGAAUACGUUCCC